This 339-nucleotide unclassified non-coding RNA is filed under the name soil metagenome. RNAcentral's name for it is "partial contains 5.8S ribosomal RNA, internal transcribed spacer 2, and large subunit ribosomal RNA". The stretch from base 1 to 120 matches the Rfam family "5.8S ribosomal RNA", at positions 35 to 154 of the family's 154-position model. The record is from RNAcentral.
GAUGAAGAACGUAGCGAAAUGCGAUAACUAAUGUGAAUUGCAGAAUUCAGUGAAUCAUCGAGUCUUUGAACGCACAUUGCGCCCCCUGGUAUUCCGGGGGGCAUGCCUGACCGAGCGUCAUUGCUGCCCUCAAGCACGGCUUGUGUGUUGGGCUCCGUCCCCCCGGGGACGGGCCCGAAAGGCAGCGGCGGCACCGAGUCCGGUCCUCGAGCGUAUGGGGCUUUGUCACCCGCUCUGUAGGCCCGGCCGGCGCCAGCCGACAACCCAUCAUCCUUUUCAGGUUGACCUCGGAUCAGGUAGGGAUACCCGCUGAACUUAAGCAUAUCAAUAAGCGGAGGA